Molecule: ribosomal RNA, 2874 nt
Filed under: human gut metagenome
Description: bacterial LSU rRNA
Rfam family: Bacterial large subunit ribosomal RNA
Source: RNAcentral
AGAAGUUACAAAGGGCGAACGGAGGAUGCCUAGGCUUCCGGCGGCGAAGAAGGACGCAGUAAGCUGCGAAAAUGUGCGGGGAUCCGCCAACAGGACUUGAUCCGCACGUAUCCGAAUGGGGGAACCCGGACGAGUGAAGCUCGUCCGCGCCAGCGCGAACCCAGGGAACUGAAACAUCUUAGUACCUGGAGGAAGAGAAAGAAAGAUCGAUUUCCCGAGUAGUGGCGAGCGAAAGGGAAAGAGCCCAAACCGGCGCUGUUACGGCAGUGUCGGGGUUGUAGGAGUCAUACCGCGGACAGUCCAUCAGAAGCGGAACCAUCUGGAAAGUUGGCCGGCACAGGGUGACAGGCCCGUACGCGUAGGGCAUGGACUGUUCGAAUGACCACCUGAGUAGGGCGGGGCACGAGGAACCCUGUCUGAAUCUGCGGGGCCCAUCCCGCAAGGCUAAAUACGACCGGAAGACCGAUAGUGAACCAGUACCGUGAGGGAAAGGUGAAAAGAACCCCGAACAGGGGAGUGCAAUAGACCCUGAAACCGUUCGUCUACAAGCGGUCGGAGCAUCUUAUAGGUGCGACGGCGUGCCUUUUGGAUAAUGAGCCUACGAGUUGUUCCAUUCCUGCGAGGUUAAGCGCUUAAGGCGCGUGAGCCGAAGCGAGAGCGAGUCUGACAAGGGCGUAUAGUAGGAGUGGACAGACGCGAAACCUAGUGAUCUACCCUUGGCCAGGUUGAAGGUGCCGUGACAGGCAGUGGAGGACCGAACCGGUUUCCGUUGAAAAGGAUUCGGAUGAGCUGAGGGUAGGGGUGAAAGGCUAAUCAAACUGGGAGAUAGCUCGUACUCCCCGAAAUGUCUUUAGGGACAGCCUCGUCAGAGCUUCACGGAGGUAGAGCUACUGAUAGGAUGCGAGGGCUUCACCGCCUAUCAAUUCCUGACAAACUCCGAAUGCCGUGAAGUGCUUGACGGGAGUGAGUCGCCGGGUGCUAAUGUCCGGUGGCAAGAGGGAAAGAGCCCGGACCGUCAGUUAAGGCCCCGAAAUGUAUGCUAAGUUGAGAGAACGAGGUGGCUAUGCAGAGACAGCUAGGAUGUUAGCUUGGAAGCAGCUAUUCAUUUAAAGAGUGCGUAACAGCUCACUAGUCGAGCGCAGCUGCGUGGAUGAUAAACGGGCAUCAAGCAUACUGCCGAAACUGCGGACUCGUCGCAAGAUGAGUGGUAGGGGAGCAUUCCGGUCGGCGCCGAAGGUCAGUCGCGAGUCUGGCUGGAGCGUCCGGAAAAGAAAAUGUAGGCAUAAGUAACGACAAUGCGGGCGUGAAACCCGCACACCGAAAGCCCAAGGUUUCCUGAGCGACGUUAAUCGGCUCAGGGUAAGUCGGGCCCUAAGGCUAACCCGAAGGGGGAGGCUGAUGGACAACCGGUCAAGAUUCCGGUACCCGUUAUGCGAGUGAAGGAGUGACUGAGGAGUGGCACCUCCGCCGUCUGACGGAAUAGGCGGUUGAAGCGUGUAGGUAUAUUGCCGGGCAAUACCCGGCGAUGCUGAGGCGUGACAGUACGGCGAGCCUUCGGGCGAGCCGAUAGCGAGGGUAAUCAGACUCACGAGAAAACCUCCGUAGCAUAUUGCAUGACGGCCCGUACCGUAAACCGACACAGGUGGGCGAGGAGAGGAUCCUAAGGUGCUCGAGCGAUUCAUGGCCAAGGAACUCGGCAAACUGACCCCGUAACUUAGGGAGAAGGGGUCCCGCGUAGAGCGGGCGCAGAGAAAUGGCCCAGGCGACUGUUUACCAAAAACACAUGGCUUUGCGAAAUCGAAAGAUGACGAAUAAGGCCUGACACCUGCCCGGUGCCGGAAGGUUAAGAGGGGGCGUUAGACGGAAGCGAUGAAGUCGAGGCGCUGAAUUGAAGCCCCGGUAAACGGCGGCCGUAACUAUAACGGUCCUAAGGUAGCGAAAUUCCUUGUCGGGUAAGUUCCGACCUGCACGAAUGGUGUAACGAUCUGGGCGCUGUCUCAGCCAUGAUCUCGGUGAAAUUGUAGUAGCGGUGAAGAUGCCGCUUACCCGCAACGGGACGGAAAGACCCCGUGAACCUUUACUGCAGCUUAGCGCUGAGACCGGGUAAUUGAUGUGUAGGAUAGGUGGGAGGCUGUGAAGGCGGUACGCCAGUAUCGCCGGAGCCGCUGUUGAAAUACCACCCUUUGGUUAUUUGGUUUCUAACUCAUAAGAGGACACCGCUUGGUGGGUAGUUUGACUGGGGUGGUCGCCUCCAAAAGCGUAACGGAGGCUUCCCAAGGUCCACUCAGCACGAAUGGUAACCGUGCGCAGAGUGUAUUGGUAUAAGUGGGCUUGACUGAGAGACCGACAAGUCGAUCAGGUGCGAAAGCAGGGCAAAGUGAUCCGGUGGUUCUACAUGGUUUGGCCAUCGCUCAAAGGAUAAAAGGUACUCCGGGGAUAACAGGCUGAUCGCUCCCAAGAGCUCAAAUCGACGGAGCGGUUUGGCACCUCGAUGUCGGCUCGUCACAUCCUGGGGCUGGAGAAGGUCCCAAGGGUUCGGCUGUUCGCCGAUUAAAGUGGCACGCGAGCUGGGUUCAGAACGUCGUGAGACAGUUCGGUCCCUAUCUGUUGUGGGCGCAGGAAAUCUGCGGAGGUCUGUCCUUAGUACGAGAGGACCGGGAUGGACACACCUCUGGUGUACCGGUUGUGGCGCCAGCUGCACCGCCGGGUAUCCACGUGUGGUUCGGAUAAGCGCUGAAAGCAUCUAAGCGCGAAGCCGGCUUCAAGAUUAGAUUUCCAUAGAGGGUCGUCGGAGACUACGACGUCGAUAGGCUGCAGGUGUAAAGGCGGCAACGUCAAAGCCGAGCAGUACUAAUAGCCCGACACUUCUGAUAU